GUAGGGAAUAUUGGACAAUGGGGGGAACCCUGAUCCAGCCAUGCCGCGUGGAGGAAGACUGCCCUCUGGGUUGUAAACUCCUUUUAUAUGGGAAGAACCGUCCUCAUUAAUGAGUGACCUGACGGUACCAUAGGAAUAAGCACCGGCUAACUCCGUGCCAGCAGCCGCGGUAAUACGGAGGGUGCAAGCGUUAUCCGGAUUCACUGGGUUUAAAGGGUGCGUAGGCGGAUAAAUAAGUCAGUGGUGAAAUCAACGGGCUCAACCUGUUAACGGGCAUUGAUACAGUGUAUCUUGAAUAUGAGAGAGGUAGGCGGAAUGUUGCAUGUAGCGGUGAAAUGCUUAGAUAUGCUACGGAACACCGAUUGCGAAGGCAGCUGACUAUUUCGUAAUUGACGCUGAGGCACGAAAGCGUGGGUAGCGAACAGGAUUAGAAACCCUAGUAGUCC
Molecule: ribosomal RNA, 446 nt
Filed under: uncultured bacterium
Lineage: Bacteria
Description: partial 16S ribosomal RNA
Rfam family: Bacterial small subunit ribosomal RNA
Source: RNAcentral